RNAcentral lists this ribosomal RNA (425 nucleotides) under uncultured bacterium. Its description in RNAcentral is "partial 16S ribosomal RNA". It matches the Rfam family "Bacterial small subunit ribosomal RNA", at positions 354 to 796 of the family's 1533-position model. The record is from RNAcentral.
GUGGGGAAUCUUAGACAAUGGGGGAAACCCUGAUCUAGCCAUGCCGCGUGAGCGAUGAAGGCCUUAGGGUUGUAAAGCUCUUUCAGCUGGGAAGAUAAUGACGGUACCAGCAGAAGAAGCCCCGGCUAACUCCGUGCCAGCAGCCGCGGUAAUACGGAGGGGGCUAGCGUUGUUCGGAAUUACUGGGCGUAAAGCGCGCGUAGGCGGACCAGAAAGUUGGAGGUGAAAUCCAAGGGCUCAACCUUGGAACUGCCUUCAAAACUCCUGGUCUGGAGUUCGAGAGAGGUGAGUGGAAUUCCGAGUGUAGAGGUGAAAUUCGUAGAUAUUCGGAGGAACACCAGUGGAGAAGGCGGCUCACUGGCUCGAUACUGACGCUGAGGUGCGAAAGCGUGGGGAGCAAACAGGAUUAGAAACCCCGGUAGUCC